RNAcentral lists this unclassified non-coding RNA (625 nucleotides) under Hevea brasiliensis (rubber tree). Lineage: Eukaryota; Viridiplantae; Streptophyta; Magnoliopsida; Malpighiales; Euphorbiaceae. The record is from RNAcentral.
UAAUAAGUUUCUUUUUUGAUUAUAUAUAUUUAAUCAACCUUAAAGAAAACAAAAACUUACAUAUUGCUUAAACCAAACAGGAAAUUCAUCCUUGCGCAUUAACAAUACCUUGUCUUUGAAGUUCUUCCUUGUGCAAACUAUACAUGUGAAACAACAUAUAAGAUAAAUCAAUGAUAUGAUGACUUGUAACUAUAAUUAAGUUGAGCAUAAAGUUUUGAAUAGAAUGAUAACUUACUUUAAAUAAUAUUCUAUCUCUUCGUAGUUAUUAAGUAUAUACCACUGAAUUUUCCUGAAAUCAGACAAGGAUAACACGCCAUAUUCAGUUGCUCCUAAAGUUUUUGCCUUUUAUGUAAAAAUUGAAAAUCCAUUGGGUAUCAACAUUGGAGACUUAUCAAAACUCCAUUCCACUCGAUUGUGUUUAGUUUCAACUCCAUGAAAGUACAAGGAAUAAAAAUUAAGGCACUCUUUAUUAAUAUACACCUCACCAAUGGAACUUUCUGGAAGAGUUUUGUUGCGUACAGAUUGUUUCAAAAAAUAUAAGAACCUAAAACUGUUCAUUUUAUAAAGAGAAUUAUUAUAAGCAACAACCUUACAAUCAGUUAAAAAAAAAAAAAUUAAAAUGAUG